UAAAUAAAGAAAUUAACUUGGUUAAUGAAAGUCAUGAUGUAAUGAUAAUUAGUUAAAUAAAAAAAAGGCUAAGUUAAAAACUCUCCCAAAGUGGGAGGGCUAAUUGUGUAACUAGUGAAUAAAAAGGGUUAAUUGAGAAAUUAACAAAACAAAAACACAAACACUGUUGUGUUCGUGCGAACCAGGGGAGGAAGAAAGGGGAGCCAAAAACCCUAACUGCUAGAUAUCAAGAAAUUGAAGCCUAAAUCACAAGAAAAUUCGAUGCAUGGGUCCUCUUUUUCGAAAAUCUAACCCUAACUAAUGAAGUGGAACGUGUCAAGGAGAGCUCAAGCAUAGGAGGAUAACGGGUCAAGAUAAGGCAAGGUGACAAAUACACUUAUUGGAAUACUCAAGGUUAUGAAUGUCGGACUUUCGAAGUGUUGAUAUAAUAAUGAAACGGUUGAAUGUUGAAAGGAUAAUCGGAUUGAAGUAACUUAUGCGGUUAGAAUAUGCUAUGGACGUUUUAGUUUAUACAAUAUUAUAUGUUUGGUCGUCACCAUCUACUAACAGGCCAAGAGCACGCGGGUUAUGUGAAGGGUAAGCGCAAUUGUUCGGAAGGAGUGAUCCGUGAAUGCGGUCUAGGACCGGCAUCAAGGCAAGUAAUAAGACGAAUUGACCCCUGGUAAACUUGAUGAAUAGACGCGCAAUGUCACUAACCGGAAAGGAAUGAUUACCGUAAAGUAUGGAUAAUGAAUCAAUGGAAUUUACUUCCGUCAGGUACGUAUAAAAAGGGUUGUAACUUUAGUAUGAGGUUAUGACUCGACUAGAGAGGGAUGCGUCAGAAUAGAAUAUGUGUAUACAAAACCGUAAUGAAAAAUGUGAAGUGAACUUCUAAAUGUUCGUAAUGAUCAUCGAGUGAUAUUGAACCUGAAUGCUCAUAACUGUGGAAAUUCUGAUAGAAUAUAAGAGACGGCAAGUAUCGUUAAGAAAUGCUAACUUUGACGCUCGGCUUGUUGGCCAUGUUCAUUUGAACAAGAUAUUGUAGGAAAGAUACGCAUGGCACGUAUAACAAUAGUAACCAUGGAAAUGAAUAAAAUAAUGAUGACUAGGGAUUGGUUAUCACAAGAAAAUUUAAAAUCUUGAUAAGUAUGAACAAUACGUUAGGAUGCUAGUUUCAAAUUGUGGACUAUGGGAUGUGUGAUUAGUCAAUUUCUCACAACAUUCUUAUGUAAGUCGUCCAAUGUAACUUGAAUGAGUGGAUGAACGAAGAAUAAGACUAGACGGGUUGUAGAAGAAAAGAAAGAGGUUUCGGGGACGAAACCUUCUUUAAGGGGGGUAGACUUGUAACACCCCAAAAAUGAUAAAUAAUAAAUAAAGAAAUUAACUUGGUUAAUGAAAGUCAUGAUGUAAUGAUAAUUAGUUAAAUAAAAAAAAGGCUAAGUUAAAAACUCUCCCAAAGUGGGAGGGCUAAUUGUGUAACUAGUGAAUAAAAAGGGUUAAUUGAGAAAUUAACAAAACAAAAACACAAACACUGUUGUGUUCGUGCGAACCAGGGGAGGAAGAAAGGGGAGCCAAAAACCCUAACUGCUAGAUAUCAAGAAAUUGAAGCCUAAAUCACAAGAAAAUUUGAUGCAUGGGUCCUCUUUUUCGAAAAUCUAACCCUAACUAAUGAAGUGGAACGUGUCAAGGAGAGCUCAAGCAUAGGAGGAUAACGGGUCAAGAUAAGGCAAGGUGACAAAUACACUUAUUGGAAUACUCAAGGUUAUGAAUGUCGGACUUUCGAAGUGUUGAUAUAAUAAUGAAACGGUUGAAUGUUGAAAGGAUAAUCGGAUUGAAGUAACUUAUGCGGUUAGAAUAUGCUAUGGACGUUUUAGUUUAUACAAUAUUAUAUGUUUGGUCGUCACCAUCUACUAACAGGUUAGUUGUAUGAGAGUAUAUGUCAUACCCAUUUAAUUGGGUAAUCGAAUGCGUAAGAGAAAUGAAAGUACGCACACGAAUGGAACUAAAAUGACGGUUUUAUAAGCAAACAAGUAUAAUGACUAACUUUUUAAAGCUUUGUUGUUGA
Molecule: long non-coding RNA, 2044 nt
Organism: Helianthus annuus (common sunflower)
Lineage: Eukaryota; Viridiplantae; Streptophyta; Magnoliopsida; Asterales; Asteraceae
Exons: 7
Source: RefSeq, a predicted model, not a curated record